CAUGCAGUACCCACGGCUGUGCCCUCAUCUGCAGCCUAACUGCUCAUCGCCCCGUCUCAGCCUCUGCCCUCGUCUGCAGCCCAACUGGUCAGCCAGGGCCUGCUUUGCCCGCUCACCUGCUGCCCAGUGUCAUCUUUUGUAGUUUGACUGAUCAUUCAUGCAGCACCCAGGACUGUGCCCUCGUCUGCAGCCCAAACAGUCAUCGCCCUGUCUCAGCCUCUGCACAGGACUCUAAAGUCUGCUUCCCUACUGGUCAGCUAGAGCCCACUCUCUGCCCACUCACCUGCUGUUGUCACCACCCAGUGUCAUCUUCUGUAGUCCAACAGACCAUUCAUGCAGUACCCAGUUGCCCACGGCUGUGCCCUCGUCUGCAGCCCAAACGGUCAUCGCCCUGUCUCAGCCUCCACCCAAACCAGCUGUUGCCUCUGCCCAGUGAUGGGCCUUCAUCCACAGCCAAAACGAAGUCUCAUGCAGCACCCAGGACUGUGCCCUCGUCAGCAGCCCAAACGGUCAUCGCCCUGUCUCAGCUUCUACCCAGGUCUCCCAACUGCGGUCUGCAUCUCUACUGUCAGCCCAUUCACCUGCUGUUGCCACCACCCCGUGUCAUCUUCUGUUGUU
Molecule: long non-coding RNA, 618 nt
Organism: Engraulis encrasicolus (European anchovy)
Lineage: Eukaryota; Metazoa; Chordata; Actinopteri; Clupeiformes; Engraulidae
Exons: 4
Source: RefSeq, a predicted model, not a curated record